GGAAGCCUGAAAUGAUCAAGAUUCCUGUCUGGAGAGGAUGCUGUCACACUUCCUUCUGUGCCUUGUGUGAAAAGGGCAGAGUCUCCUCAAGAGAAAGUUGCUAUAAAAGCAAGAGGAACUCUGUUGUCUGCCUACACCUUGUACAGCUGAUCUCUUA
Long non-coding RNA from Melospiza melodia melodia, 157 nucleotides. RefSeq lists it as uncharacterized. NCBI's taxonomy places the organism in Eukaryota, Metazoa, Chordata, Aves, Passeriformes, Passerellidae. The record is from RefSeq and is a predicted model, not a curated record. The transcript is spliced from 3 exons.